GAUGAACGCUGGCGGCGUGCCUAAUACAUGCAAGUCGAGCGAACAGACGAGGAGCUUGCUCCUCUGAUGUUAGCGGCGGACGGGUGAGUAACACGUGGAUAACCUACCUAUAAGACUGGGAUAACUUCGGGAAACCGGAGCUAAUACCGGAUAACAUGUUGAACCGCAUGGUUCAACAGUGAAAGACGGUCUUGCUGUCACUUAUAGAUGGAUCCGCGCCGCAUUAGCUAGUUGGUAAGGUAACGGCUUACCAAGGCAACGAUGCGUAGCCGACCUGAGAGGCUGAUCGGCCACACUGGAACUGAGACACGGUCCAGACUCCUACGGGAGGCAGCAGUAGGGAAUCUUCCGCAAUGGGCGAAAGCCUGACGGAGCAACGCCGCGUGAGUGAAGAAGGUCUUCGGAUCGUAAAACUCUGUUAUUAGGGAAGAACAAAUGUGUAAGUAACUAUGCACGUCUUGACGGUACCUAAUCAGAAAGCCACGGCUAACUACGUG
RNAcentral lists this ribosomal RNA (497 nucleotides) under uncultured bacterium. RNAcentral's name for it is "partial 16S ribosomal RNA". It matches the Rfam family "Bacterial small subunit ribosomal RNA", at positions 28 to 507 of the family's 1533-position model. The record is from RNAcentral.